Small nuclear RNA from Cebus imitator (Panamanian white-faced capuchin), 110 nucleotides. Lineage: Eukaryota; Metazoa; Chordata; Mammalia; Primates; Cebidae. The record is from Ensembl.
GCUCUGCUUGCUUCAGCAGGACAUAUACUAAAAUAGAAGCUCUACAAAGAAAAUUAACAUGGCCCCUGUGCAAGAAUGACACAAAAAUUUGUGAAAUAUUUCAUAUAUUA